GAUAGACAGUAAUCCAAAGUGUUUUGCCUUCCCAAACACAAUCCAUAAUUCGUCUACCCCUAUGUCACGGAAUAGCGAAACAGUAAUGACAGCAUCAUCGAUCAGUAACGACUGUUCGAAUCAUGACUCGUUUAAGUUCGUGUUUCACUGCAUCAGACACAUGCACCAUGAUUCUAGUGUCAGCCUCUUAAUGUGAACAUGGUGCUAAAUUUGAAAUACAUCACGUGGUAGAUAACACUGAAAAUCCUGAGCAUUUGUUGCUACAACUACCAUACUCAUAAAAAAAUUCAUCCAUUCUUGUUACAGUUUCAAGGUAUUUUAUUAAGGUAAGGACAUAAUAAUCAGCAUACUCGUUAGGAAACACC
RNAcentral lists this long non-coding RNA (365 nucleotides) under Mytilus galloprovincialis (Mediterranean mussel). Lineage: Eukaryota; Metazoa; Mollusca; Bivalvia; Mytilida; Mytilidae. The record is from RNAcentral.